Molecule: ribosomal RNA, 1359 nt
Filed under: uncultured bacterium
Lineage: Bacteria
Description: bacterial SSU rRNA
Rfam family: Bacterial small subunit ribosomal RNA
Source: RNAcentral
AUUGAACGCUGGCGGCAGGCCUAACACAUGCAAGUCGAGCGGAUGAGUGGAGCUUGCUCCAUGAUUCAGCGGCGGACGGGUGAGUAAUGCCUAGGAAUCUGCCUGGUAGUGGGGGACAACGUUUCGAAAGGAACGCUAAUACCGCAUACGUCCUACGGGAGAAAGUGGGGGAUCUUCGGACCUCACGCUAUCAGAUGAGCCUAGGUCGGAUUAGCUAGUUGGUGAGGUAAAGGCUCACCAAGGCGACGAUCCGUAACUGGUCUGAGAGGAUGAUCAGUCACACUGGAACUGAGACACGGUCCAGACUCCUACGGGAGGCAGCAGUGGGGAAUAUUGGACAAUGGGCGAAAGCCUGAUCCAGCCAUGCCGCGUGUGUGAAGAAGGUCUUCGGAUUGUAAAGCACUUUAAGUUGGGAGGAAGGGCAGUAAGUUAAUACCUUGCUGUUUUGACGUUACCAACAGAAUAAGCACCGGCUAACUUCGUGCCAGCAGCCGCGGUAAUACGAAGGGUGCAAGCGUUAAUCGGAAUUACUGGGCGUAAAGCGCGCGUAGGUGGUUCGUUAAGUUGGAUGUGAAAGCCCCGGGCUCAACCUGGGAACUGCAUCCAAAACUGGCGAGCUAGAGUAUGGCAGAGGGUGGUGGAAUUUCCUGUGUAGCGGUGAAAUGCGUAGAUAUAGGAAGGAACACCAGUGGCGAAGGCGACCACCUGGGCUAAUACUGACACUGAGGUGCGAAAGCGUGGGGAGCAAGCAGGAUUAGAUACCCUGGUAGUCCACGCCGUAAACGAUGUCGACUAGCCGUUGGGAUCCUUGAGAUCUUAGUGGCGCAGCUAACGCAUUAAGUCGACCGCCUGGGGAGUACGGCCGCAAGGUUAAAACUCAAAUGAAUUGACGGGGGGCCCGCACAAGCGGUGGAGCAUGUGGUUUAAUUCGAAGCAACGCGAAGAACCUUACCAGGCCUUGACAUGCAGAGAACUUUCCAGAGAUGGAUUGGUGCCUUCGGGAACUCUGACACAGGUGCUGCAUGGCUGUCGUCAGCUCGUGUCGUGAGAUGCUGGGUUAAGUCCCGUAACGAGCGCAACCCUUGUCCUUAGUUACCAGCACGUUAAGGUGGGCACUCUAAGGAGACUGCCGGUGACAAACCGGAGGAAGGUGGGGAUGACGUCAAGUCAUCAUGGCCCUUACGGCCUGGGCUACACACGUGCUACAAUGGUCGGUACAAAGGGUUGCCAAGCCGCGAGGUGGAGCUAAUCCCAUAAAACCGAUCGUAGUCCGGAUCGCAGUCUGCAACUCGACUGCGUGAAGUCGGAAUCGCUAGUAAUCGUGAAUCAGAAUGUCACGGUGAAUACGUUCCCGGGCCU